GAAAUGCGAUAAGUAAUGUGAAUUGCAGAAUUCAGUGAAUCAUCGAAUCUUUGAACGCAUCUUGCGCUCCUUGGUAUUCCGAGGAGCAUGCCUGUUUGAGUGUCAUUUAAAUUCCUCAAACCACAUGGUACACUGUACUUUAUGUGGCUUUGGACGUGGGGGUUUUAUUUUUGCAGGCCUUUCUUUUGAGGUGUGCUCCCCUGAAAUGCAUUAGUGGUAUCUGGAGCAGAGGAGACUACUAGGUGUGAUAAAUUAUCUAUGCCUUUUGGUAUGCUGCAUGAAACAGAUUGGACCGCUUCUUGAAACACACAUUUAUUUUGACCAACUUGACCUCAAAUCAGGUAGGACUACCCGCUGAACUUAAGCAUAUCAAUAAGCGGAGGAAAAGAAACUAACAAGGAUUCCCCUAGU
This 411-nucleotide ribosomal RNA is filed under the name uncultured Cortinariaceae. RNAcentral describes it as "eukaryotic LSU rRNA". The stretch from base 1 to 105 matches the Rfam family "5.8S ribosomal RNA", at positions 50 to 154 of the family's 154-position model. Lineage: Eukaryota; Fungi; Basidiomycota; Agaricomycetes; Agaricales; Cortinariaceae. The record is from RNAcentral.